AACGAACGCUGGCGGCGCGCUUAACACAUGCAAGUCGAACGAGAAGGCGUAGCAAUACGCUGGUACAGUGGCGAACGGGUGAGGAAUACAUGGGUAACCUACCCUCGAGUGGGGGAUAACCCGCCGAAAGGCGGGCUAAUACCGCGUACGCUUCCGAUCUUGCGGGAUCGGAAGGAAAGCUGUCCCAAGGGGAUGGCGCUCAAGGAUGGGCUCAUGUCCUAUCAGCUUGUUGGAGGGUAACGGCCUACCAAGGCAUCGACGGGUAGCUGGUCUGAGAGGACGAUCAGCCACACUGGCACUGCGACACGGGCCAGACUCCUACGGGAGGCAGCAGUGAGGAAUAUUGCGCAAUGGGCGAAAGCCUGACGCAGCGACGCCGCGUGGGGGAGUGAAGGUCUUCGGGUUGUAAACUCCUGUCAUUUGAGAACAAGGUGCACCGGUUAACUGCCGGUGCAUUGAUAGUAUCAGAAGAGGAAGAGACGGCUAACUCUGU
This 493-nucleotide ribosomal RNA is filed under the name uncultured bacterium. RNAcentral describes it as "bacterial SSU rRNA". It matches the Rfam family "Bacterial small subunit ribosomal RNA", at positions 29 to 506 of the family's 1533-position model. The record is from RNAcentral.